Molecule: long non-coding RNA, 6231 nt
Filed under: Sus scrofa (pig)
Lineage: Eukaryota; Metazoa; Chordata; Mammalia; Artiodactyla; Suidae
Description: lncRNA (ENSSSCG00000045101.1)
Source: RNAcentral
UAUGGAAGUUCUCAGGCUAGGAGUCAAAUCAGAGGUGCAGCUGAGGCCUAUGCCACAGCGAUAACAAUACCAGAUCUGAGCUCAUCUCUGACCUACACCAAAGCUUGCAAGAAUGCCAGAUCUUUAUCCACUGAGUAGGCCAGGGAUUGAGCCCGCAUCCUCAUAGACGCUAUGUUGGGUUCUUAACCUGCUGAGCCACAGCAGGAACUCCUAGACAAGUUUUCUUAAUGUGCAAGCGUUUUCACAUUGAUUCUACACAAGACGUUUUGAUAUCGGACCACAGCAGAACAUGAUAGGAAGCAAUGAGCUGGGUUCACAAACUCUCCAUGUAACAAUCUCAGGCCCUUCAUUCUUAGUGGGAAACAACGCAGGGCCGAAACUCACAGCUGUUUUCUUACAUUUAACAAAGUCAUAAAGCAGAUUACAGCUCUGUUACCACUUUGUCCCUCUCACUUCCAAACACCCCUUUUUUUCUCAAUAAGCACAAAUUAUUUUUCUUUUCUUAAAUGAGUAAACCGAGGCCAAGAAAUUUAGUCAAGGACUGUUACUUGUCCAGGAUGGAAGCAUAUUGUUUCCUCAGGCUGCUCUAUCCCCGCCCAGGGCGCCAGGCUGCCACGUAUUGUCUUAUUGACUAAAAUCCUCCUGUAGGAUCUUUUGAAACCCAUUAGUUUUUAAAUGCAAAGGUUUGUAACACAAACAAGUUAAGUAUAUAAAAUGUAACCAUUCUUUUCUCUGUGUCUGCCACCACCAUUUUCCUCCAAGUUUAUAGUCUCCUGAAUCCCAUUAAAUCAUCAAGUUACCUUUGGAGAAAGGACUUCCUCUAGAACCAUAGCUCCAUAGAGUCGUCUCUCCUUCUGGAUCUUUCUCUGUGGAUAUAUAUGAGGCCAGGGAGCUCACCUGACCUCUUUAUAGUGAACUGUCUUUUUCCUGAUUAAGGGAAGGCAGGCACUGAGUUGCAGGAGAGGGAGCCUGCAUUCAGGUGUUGCUCUAGUGUAACAAUUACUGUCCACUUGCUUCAGUGGUAAGUUAACACAUUCACUUAGUAAACAAAUCAAUCAUUCAGAUAGGCAGCCAGUAUCAGUCGGAGGCCCCUCCUUGUGUUUGCCGGUGUUAGUGGUUUCUGGUAUGUACGUACAGACCUGUGUCUGCACAUAUACAUUUACAGUGCAUAUGCUGGUCUAAAACGUAUAAUAUUGUUGCAUAUGUUUUUACUGUACAUGCAUUGAAUUCAGGGUUCUUACACUCCAUAAUGCGCAAGAUCUUUCCACAUCAGUUUACUUAGAUCCGUCCUGUUCAUCUUCGCUGCCGUCUAGGAAUUUCUGAAAUUUCUCGUGUUUUCUCUGGAUUUCCGUUCCUCUAAUGAAAGUCUCCAUCUUGUCAUCUAUAUUUUUGAACACGUGAUGCAUUGUUAUUUUUGUCUAAUAAGUGAUUCUCCCGUAUAUCCAUUUCUACUUUCUUAUUUUUUUCUGUCAGUUUUAAAUAAUUUAAACUCAAAUCCUAAUAUGCCUUUAACUCUUUAAUGAAUGCUAGUUUUUGUACGAGAAAAAGCAUUGAAACAAUGUGUGCCUCUGAAGAAUAACAGCUCUCUCCAGGGAGAACUGUGGCUUAUUCUAAUGAGGGAUCGAACUUAGAGCUGUGUUGCUGCUGAAGGCUUGUCUGUUUUGAUGCAUCACUAUUCCUGCUGUGUAAUUGGUCACAGUGUGUUACAUACAUUAGUCCUCCAAGGCAGAUGUCCGAGUAUCUUCAAAUGGUUUUAAAACACUUAAAAGAUGUCUAUGUCAUCUGUAAAUAAAAUAAAUAGAAAAGAAUAUCAGAAUCUUGUACCACUGGCAAAGAUAAAAAUGUUGGCAUAUUUUAAGACUAUAAAUUGUACAUUAUCUUUUUUUUUUUUUUUUUUUUGUCUUUUUGCUAUUUCUUGGGCCGCUCUCUCGGCAUAUGGAGGUUCCCAGGCUAGGGGUCCAAUCGGAGCUGUAGCCACCGGCCUACGCCAGAGCCACAGCAACGCGGGAUCCGAGCCGCGUCUGCAACCUACACCACAGCUCACGGCAACGCCGGAUCGUCAACCCACUGAGCAAGGGCAGGGACCGAACCUGCAACCUCAUGGUUCCUAGUCGGAUUUGUUAACCACUGCGCCACCAUGGGAACUCCUGUACAUUAUCUUUGUAAGUAAUUUAGUAAUACUUAUCAAGUUUUGAAAGGCUCACCCAUUUUAAUCCACUAUUUUCUUUUUCAAAAAUGUAUCUUAAUUAUAUACUCUUACAAAUAUGAUCUAUUAUAAAAGUAAAAAUGAGUUUCAGUACUGUGUAUAGUAGCAGAUUUCUCCAAAUUAUCUGGAUGUCCAUUACUAAUGGAUUAACAACAAUUUAAUGAAGUUUUGCGAAUUCAUGGAAGAGAAGAAUACACAACUAUUAAAAUGAGAUAAAAAUACCUAGAUGGAAUUAUAAAUAAAAACAGCAGUCUUGGAGUUUCCAUCAUGGCUCAGCAGAAACGACUCUGACUAGCAUCCAUGAGGAUGCAGGUUUGAUCCCUGGCCUCACUAAGGAUAUGGCGUUGCUGUGAGCUGGGGUUUUGAACUGUGGUGUAGGUCACAGACACGACUUGGAUCCCACGUUGCUGUGGCAGUGGUGUAGGCCAACAGCUACAACUCCGAAUCGACUCCUAGCCUGAGAACCUCCAUACGCCAUGGGUGCGGCCCUAAAAAGACCAAAAAACAAAAGCAAAAAAAAAGCAAUCCUCAAAAUAUAUUCAGUCUUCAUAGUAUAUUAAGUAAAAGGAAAAAAUGUCAAGAAAGUAUAUUGAACAUGCCAUGACUUUCGGUUAAAAUGGCAGAUUAAUACGCGAGCGUGUAUGUUUGUACAUGUUUAACUGAACUAGUGGUUAACUCAAUGACAAGAAUGCUGAAGGGAAGUAGAAAUCGGGAAUUAGGGAUCAAGAAUCAUCUCACUUUUCACUGGAUUUAUUUCCCAUGCCACUCUCAGUAUUUGCUGCCUAGUUUACAAUUCAGAUUUAUUUGAUUAAACUAGGAUAAUUUGCCCCCAAUACUGAGGUGGGUGCAAUCUAAUCGCUGGGCCUGCAGAAGUGGCUAAGGACUCAGUUCCUGAUUUUUCACCUUCAUUGUCCCUUUAAGUGUUACACCUGUUUGUGUGAUAAUAUGUGAGAUCAGUGCUCUGUAGAUUCACCUGCGUCUGGGCCACCUGUAUUUAAGUGAAGAUGAUCAACGUAUGACUUAACAUCAACUAAGGCUGGUUCCCGCUUGAGAGGUCUAUUGAAUUAUUUCCUGACUUUUGAACACAGAGCAAUCAGUAUUUUAAUUUUCUGGUGCUAGAUGAAUUUUCUGGUGCUAAUUUUCAGGCAUUUCCUUUGAUUCAUUCAAAAAGCUCACACAAAUCCGCAUAGAAUGGUGUCGUAAGACUGAAUUUAUCCUUCUUGGCCUUCUGAAGAACAAGUUUUUGUACCAUCCAAACAGUUGUCACCGUGGACACAGUUGUCAAUGUUAAUAUGCAGUGGCUACCUAGAGAACAGAGUCCACAGCACUUUCCAGUGGAAUUUAGCAUUCUGAAGUGCUAAUGAAGAGAUUGGUAUUUGUGUUAUUCAUCAAAAAUCAAAAUCAGUUUUUUACGAUUUUGGAUCAAAAAUUUGGAUCAAGAUUUUGAUAUGAAACCAGGUAUCUUCAAAGGCUAAUAUUUAAGACAUGAAACAUUCUAUGAUCUUUUAUAUGGCAAAAUUAUUUUUGCCAAGUAUCUGAAAAGGAAUCUAAGUACCCUGCUGUGUGACUGAGUGACUCUCUAAUAAUUAGUUCUAAUAAUUAGUAGCUGUGUAAUAGAUAAUAGGAGCCCCAAACUGAAAGAUUCAAAAAGAGCAUAUCUUAGUACUUCAUGUUAUCACAGCCUGGGUAGACAAUUUAAAUAUUAUGAAAUAUAGUUGGCAGUAUCUUACAGUUAAAAAAGAUAAACACUUUGAAAAAGAUAAACCCUUUGGGAAGUUCCCAUUGCAGCUCCGCGGGUGAAAAACCUGAUCAGUGUCCAUGAGGAUGUGAAUUCAAGCCCUGGCCUCACUCAUUGGGUUAAGGAUCCAGCAUUUCAGUGAGCUGCCGCGUAGGUCGCAGAUGCAGCUUAGAUCCCUCAUUGCUGUGGCUGUGGCUUAGUCUGGCAGUUGCAGUUCUGCUUCUCCCCCUAGCCUGGGAACUUCCGUAUGCCACGGGUGAGGCCCUAGAAAGACACACACACACACACACACACACACACACACAGAUAUUUUUGUCCUUUUGUCUUUGAAUUAUGUGUUACCACAGUUAUGAAACCAGCACUGACAGCAUUAAGAAGACUUAGUUUACCAUUUCCAAGGUUACAAAAGGAAAAUCCAUAUAGGGUGAAUAUUUAUGAGAUUCCUGGUCCAAUCUAGUGGAGAAGAAGGUAGCUCCUUAAAUAAUGUAGCCAGUUAUUCUCUGACUUAAUAUUCUGAUUUUAAGACAGGUGCAUGGCAGAAACUAGGGACAAAGGCACAUGUUAGCCAUCACAUGGAAUAAGGCAUAUUAAACCCUAAAAUCAUUAAUCUAGAAAUUAAAUUUCCCUUAGAAGUCAAUCAACUAGUUAAAAAAAAAGUCAAUCAUCUGAUUUAUACCUCACUUUGGCAUAUGGCUUUAUUUUAGUCAGACAUAUGAUAUAUUCUUUGUUUUCAUUUUCACUCCUAAGAAAAUAUGUUUUACAAGCAAAAACAAUUGUUUUUUAUUAAAAUAUAACUGACUUACAAUCUUAUAUUAGUUUCAGGUGUACUACGUAGGGAGUUGGUGUUUUAAACAUUAUAAAAUCAUCACCAGCAUCAGUCUAGUUACCGCCCGUCACCAUACAGCUAUUACAAUCUUAUUGCCUGUAGCCCCUGUGUUGUUCAUUCCAUCCCCAUGAGUUAUUUUAUAACUGGAAGUUUGUACCUCUCAAUCUCUCGUCUGUUUUUAAGGAGAAAAAUCCAGCUCAAUGACAAUACCUAAACAUCCAGUCUCGUAUGGGCCAGGCAAUGCUUCCCUCGUAUAUAUUUGUUGAAUAAAUAGAAGAAAAUGAGGCAGCCUCAGAGAUGCCUAACAUCAGUAUCACGGAACUAAUUCGUUGUAAACAUAUAAAGUCUAAAUUCUAUUCCUUAUGAAGAAGUUACGAUCACAGGAAUGCUGAGUAUCUUGUCCAAGAAUCUCUGCUGUUUUCAGAAGUUGCACAGUGGAGCUGUGCUGUGGAACAGAGAGAGGUGGUCUCCGGAUUUGUUAUGGCUAAUCAGGGAAACCUCGAAGGACCUAUUCAGAGGACCUCAUAACAAGGUCAGCUGGACAAAAAGCCCUUCCUAAAAUCACAAUGGUCUUAAAAUCAGUUAGCAAACAAACAGAAGCCUUCAAACAAUAUUAAUAUGGCCUAAAGGUUCAAUUUGAUGGAACUGUCUAAGAAGAAAUCAUCCUUGUCAGACGAAGAUACUUCUAUUCCCUUUGAGACUCUCUUGAUUAAAACAAAUUUUAUUUCAUUUGAUAAUAUCUAAUUUUAGUAAUUAAUGAAUCUGACGCUUGGGACCAUUUCUUCUAUCGGACUUAAACAGAGUAAGCUAAUAAGUAAUUAGUUCAUCCAAGAGCCUUGUAAGGUGUAAUCCCCGGGUUCCUUCCAGAUUCUCUUUGUUCUGCGUGUAUCACUAAUUGUUUUAAGUGAUUUUUAAUUUUGUGAAACAUUUCCCAAUUAAAGUUAGAUAAGUAAAUACAAGGAUGUACUUUGUUUAAUAUUAUGUUUCUUGUCAGUGGAAGGAUAGGCUUUAAAUUCUUCUGAAGACAGCAUUUUUCUAAUCAACACAUUGUAUAAUUCUAGUUUGGGGAAAGAGAAUUUCCCAUUUAUUUUAUGACUUUGAAUUUUAUUUUCCAAAUGGCUUCCCUGUAAAUCCAGUUCAUGACUCAGCUCUUCAGUGAUGGGGUGAGUAGAAAGCCCUCUCUUUCCUUCUUCCUUUGCCGAUCCCCUAUCACCUCCCCACUUAUAUAGGGAUCUUACACAAUGAAUUAAUGCUUCUCUCUCCUUUCUCUUUAACCUCUUCCUCAUCAUUUGAUUCUUCCAACUUCCUAAUUGCCGGGCAUACUGCAAAAUAAAAAUGAGAGUUCCUCCUUCAAGAUGGGGAUGUAGAAAAAAUGUGGUGAAAGUAUUAAAAGAUGUAAAGCUUUUUCCCAUCUUCCAGUCUUGACCACUCAUGCUGCUUGCUCUUUAAUGUUGUUUCAAG